Molecule: transfer RNA, 73 nt
Filed under: Myotis davidii
Lineage: Eukaryota; Metazoa; Chordata; Mammalia; Chiroptera; Vespertilionidae
Rfam family: tRNA
About the family: Transfer RNA (tRNA) molecules are approximately 80 nucleotides in length. Their secondary structure includes four short double-helical elements and three loops (D, anti-codon, and T loops).
Source: Rfam by way of RNAcentral
GCCAGUGUGGCUCAGCGGAUAGAGCCUCGGCCUGCGGACUCAAGGAUUCCGGGUUCGAUUCCCGUCAAGGGCA